GAGUUUGAUCCUGGCUCAGAUUGAACGCUGGCGGCAUGCCUUACACAUGCAAGUCGAACGGCAGCAUGAUCUAGCUUGCUAGAUUGAUGGCGAGUGGCGAACGGGUGAGUAAUACAUCGGAACGUGCCCUGUAGUGGGGGAUAACUAGUCGAAAGAUUAGCUAAUACCGCAUACGACCUGAGGGUGAAAGUGGGGGACCGCAAGGCCUCAUGCUAUAGGAGCGGCCGAUGUCUGAUUAGCUAGUUGGUGGGGUAAAGGCCCACCAAGGCGACGAUCAGUAGCUGGUCUGAGAGGACGAUCAGCCACACUGGGACUGAGACACGGCCCAGACUCCUACGGGAGGCAGCAGUGGGGAAUUUGGACAAUUGGCGAAAGCCUGAUCCAGCAAUGCCGCGUGUGUGAAGAAGGCC
This 410-nucleotide ribosomal RNA is filed under the name uncultured microorganism. RNAcentral's name for it is "bacterial SSU rRNA". It matches the Rfam family "Bacterial small subunit ribosomal RNA", at positions 9 to 416 of the family's 1533-position model. The record is from RNAcentral.